AAGUCGUAACAAGGUUUCCGUAGGUGAACCUGCGGAAGGAUCAUUAGUGGAAAGUUUACUUUACACUUUAAACCAACAUUGUGAACCAUUAGCCAGGUAUGUUCUCUAGUCAGGUCUGAAAAGAGAUGACAAGAGCCGGGAUUGCAGGUCGCAGAAGUUAUUCUUCGCAAGAAGAGUAGUCAGACGUAGCUUCAGUGGGGGGUAGGAAUCUUAAUCUCUUAAAUGGGAGCGGUGAACUAUCUAUUCAACUCAUUGGACUCCUGUGGUUUGAGGGUGUGCUAUCGUUAGUUGGUCUUCGGACUAGCUCUAGUAUAGUACCGGUAUAUCGUACGUUAAUAAAUAAACCCGUGAGUGACGCAUGCUAGUUUUUAUUAUUGCCUAAGUCAACUCAUUAGUAAUAAUGAAAAGACAACCUUUAACAAUGGAUCUCUUGGCUCCU
RNAcentral lists this unclassified non-coding RNA (439 nucleotides) under fungal sp. RNAcentral describes it as "partial internal transcribed spacer region". The stretch from base 1 to 46 matches the Rfam family "Eukaryotic small subunit ribosomal RNA", at positions 1786 to 1831 of the family's 1831-position model. Lineage: Eukaryota; Fungi. The record is from RNAcentral.